GGGAAGGUGGCUCAGUGGUAGAGCACUUGCCUUGCAUGCAUGAGGCCCUAGGUUCAAUUCCUCAGCACCCCA
RNAcentral lists this transfer RNA (72 nucleotides) under Dipodomys ordii (Ord's kangaroo rat). It matches the Rfam family "tRNA". Rfam says of the family: Transfer RNA (tRNA) molecules are approximately 80 nucleotides in length. Their secondary structure includes four short double-helical elements and three loops (D, anti-codon, and T loops). The record is from Rfam by way of RNAcentral. Lineage: Eukaryota; Metazoa; Chordata; Mammalia; Rodentia; Heteromyidae.